ACCAAAAGAGGUUCUUGAUACCGGUGUGGUUUUUAAACCAUCCUUCAUUUCAAGAUUUGCUAGGCAUGUCACAAGAAGAGUUCGGAUAUAGUCAUCCUACUGGCGGUCUGAUAAUUCCCUGCAACGAAAACACAUUUCUCAAAGUUACCUCUCGCAUGUAUUGAUUGUGAGAUGAUUAACACAAACCAGCCAAUACAAUUUUGUAAAGCAAAAAUCACUAAUUCAUGUAUAAUUUUUUUUUCUCCAUCAUUUUUGCCUUGUGGAGAUGAUAUAAGUCUCCCCAAGUGGAAAACUAAAGACGGUGAUUACUGUAACACUCCUAUCAAUCAGUAAUGAUAGUUCAAAACACUUCAUUCAGCUGUUAUCUUAUUUUCUUUCUGAAUUUUUACUCGUUCGCAUUAAUUCCAUCUUAAUAUAAACUGUAAAUGAUCUACCUUGUUCUAAGAUUACUUCAAACUACAUGCUAAGUUAUUUGGAGUUGGACCCUUCAUUUUCGUUCGAUUUCGUGUGUCCAACACAUAUCCAAACUUAAGUACAAAGUCUAGCUAAGAUAGAUUACAAGUAGUCUUUUUCAUGGCAGUGGCUUAUUAAACGAUCAAUUUGGUGUUAUAAAUUUCAAAGUAAUUUUCUUAAUAUAGAUUUGACAAAGAAUUAAGAUAUAUAAAGAUGUGAGACAGGGGACUAAGUGAUUAAUACAACAAAGCGAAUGAUAAAAGAUUUUAAAGAAAAAAAGAGAAAAGCAAAAGAGAGAUAAGUUCAUGAUACAUACUGAUUAGUUUUAUCGGAAAGUAAAGUUGCCUAAUAUGGACCUCUUUCCCACAUCAUUCUUUUUACUUAUUUGGUUCUAUGUAAUAUGGAUAAUCAACAUUGCUAAAAUUCAAGAAAAUCUUCAAAUAAUCUAAACUCCAAUCAUGUAUAUGGAAACAAAUAUACAAAGGACUGAAUGUAACAUCAAAUAUGUUCACACUAAGCAGAUUAUUAUCCAAAAGGUGACGGCAGUUGCAUAAAUAACCAAAGGCCAUCUUGUUGUUUAUGUAGGUGUGUUAAGUUUAGUUCCCAUGCAAAGGUGGCCAUGCACGACAUGCAAAGGUGGUCAUGCUUCUGGAAUCGCAGCAGGCAGUAGUGCCAUGGUGUGCAGCAAGCUGAAGCUAUCCAUUUAGUUUCCUUAAUUGAAUGUCUUGUAUUUAGUUAGGAUCAAACUUAGUUGGUAGCUGCAUUUUGAUGUAAUUAGGUGCUGAAUGACAAGUUUAGGUAGAAGCUUUUUGUUUUUCAAUCAAGUUUACCAAGUUACUAGGCAAUUUAGUGGUGUUAGGUAUGUUAUUAGGUGAUUACUUGUUUGUUUUACUUGUUGACUGAUAUAUGUAAUGGCUUAAUGCCUUGUUGGUUUGCUUAAUGAAAGAUAUCAGCUCAUUUUCAUUCAAUCUUUUUCUCUCUUUUCUGUUUUCACUUGCUAGCUUCAUCUUUCUGUUUUCUGCUUCCGAGUUUGCUUCUUCACCAAGCCUCGAGGCUUACUACUCAAGCAAGACUAGAAACAGCUUGCUGCUGCCUCUUGCACCAACAAUUGGUAUCGAGAGCUCUUGUCUUAGUGGACCUGUUGCUUCAAAACAAAGAACUUGAUGGCUUCUUCAGGAUUUUCACCAGCAGCCCCACCAGUCUUCAAUGGAGAAGGCUUUCACAUAUGGCUGGUCAAGAUGAAGACUUACCUACAGGCCUUCGAUCUGUGGGAAGUUGUCAACACAGAUACUGAGCCAGCACCACUGAGGGCUAAUCCCACAGUAGCUCAGAUUAGGCAACAUGCUGAUGAGAGGACCAAAAGGCACAAAGCCAUGUCCUGCAUCCAGAACUGUGUGUCAGAUGUCAUCUUCACCAGAAUUAUGGCCUGUGAGACUCCAAAACAGGCCUGGGAUAAGCUCAAGGAGGAGUUUCAAGGCACUGAGAGAACAAGGCAACAGCAGCUGUUAAACUUGAGAAGGGAUUUCGAGAAUUUGAAGAUGAAGGAAGAAGAAACAGUGAAGCAGUACUCAGAUAGAAUUAUGGCAGUGGUUAACAGCAUAAGGCUCCUAGGUGAGCACUUUGAUGAGGCAAGAAUUGUAGAGAAAGUCCUCUCCACCUUGCCUGAGAGAUAUGAGGCCAAGAUAUCCUCUCUAGAGGACUCAAGAGACCUUGCUAGCAUCUCUUUGACUGAGCUAAUCAACACCUUUUAUGCUCAGGAACAAAGAAGAGCUAGCAGAGCUGAAGAUCACCAAGAAGGUGCAUUUCAAGCCAAGGCCAGAGAAACCUCGAGCACUAAUGCUCAAAGAGGCAAAAGGCCUUGGAAAAACAGGCCUAAGCCUGAUGCUGCAAGGAGCAAUGACCAGCCCUGCAGAUAUUGCAAGAAACCUGGCCAUCCAGAAGACAUAUGCUGGUUUAGGCCAGAUGCAGUUUGCCAACACUGCAAGAAGAAGGGCCACGUUGAAAGGGUCUGCAAAAACAGAAGUAAGCCAAGGCAGAAUCAAUUUCAAAAGUCAAAGGUUGAAGCUCGAGUAGCUGAGGACAGUAGUGACCAAGAAGAACAGGUCUUUGCUGUUUCCUGUGUAGCUUCUGAGAAGAAAUGCUCUAAAGGCUGGUUGCUGGACAGUGGUUGCACUAACCACAUGUCACCAGAUGCCUCCUUGUUUAAAACCUUGGACAAAAGUUAUAAAACCAAGGUCAAUGUUGGAAAUGGUCAGUUUAUAAGGGCUGAAGGAAGAGGAGAAGUGCUGAUAUGUACUCCCACAGGCAACAAGAUCAUUCCAAAUGUGCUGUUGGUACCACAGAUUGACAGAAACCUUCUCAGCAUAGCUCAACUGCUUGAGAAAGGUUAUUCUGUUGUGUUCAAGGAUAAACAAUGCCAUAUUACUGAUCCAAGUGGAUCAAGCCUUAUGACAGUCACAAUGACUGAUAAAUGUUUUGAGGUUCACUGGGCAAAUGACUCAAACUCAGCAUACACAGCCUCUGUUGAAGACUCCAAGCUUUGGCAUCAAAGGCUUGGACAUGCCAACUUCAGAUCAAUAGCUCGAUUGGCCAAAGAGGGCUUGGCAGAGAACUUCAUCAGCUCAGUGGAGCAUGAUGAUGUGUGUGAAGUUUGCCAAAUGGGGAAACAGGCAAGACUGCCAUUUCCUACAAAUUUAACCUGGAGAGCUACUGAAAGACUGCAGCUGGUGCACUCUGAUGUAUGUGGCCCGAUGAGGACUGAAUCACUCAGCAAAAACAGGUAUUUCAUCCUCUUUAUUGAUGACCUUACAAGGUUUUGCUGGAUUUUCUUUUUAAAACACAAGUCUGAGGUAGCUCAAGUGUUUGUGAAGUUUAAAAAUGCUGUAGAAACAGAAAUAGGUUGCAAGCUGAAAUCGAUAAGGACUGAUAAUGGCACUGAGUACACUUCAGCUCAGUUUCAAGCCAUUUGCAAUGAUGCUGGUAUCAAACAUCAGCUUACAAAUGUCUACACACCUCAGCAGAAUGGGGUAGCUAAAAGAAAGAAUAGAAGUCUGAUGGAUAUGGCCAGAUGUCUGCUGUUUGAGAAGAAACUGCCCAAGACCAUGUGGGCUGAGGCAGUAAACACUGCUGUUUACCUUCAGAACAGGCUUCCAACAAAAGCUCUUGCAUCCGAGACACCUUUCGAGGCUUGGUCUGGUUUCAAGCCUUCCUUAGCACAUUUGAAGGUGUUUGGUUGCCUGUGUUAUGCACAAAUACCAGCAGCAAAGAGAGACAAGCUCUCUAAAAGGGCUCAACCAGGUGUUCUAGUAGGCUACAGCUCAGUCAAGAAGGGCUACAGGGUUCUGGAUCCCUUGAUAAACAAAGUCCAGGUGAGAAGAGAUGUCAUCUUUGAUGAAAAAGCCUGCUAGAAUUGGGAGAAAAAUGAGCCAGAAGCAGUUUCAGAAGACCUAGUGCCUAACCAAGCUGAACUUGAGCAGCUAGGACCUGAAAUGGAUGUCGAUGAUGUGCCUGUGAGAGGCACAAGGCCCCUAGAUGAUAUUUAUGAAAGGGCACAGGUUGCAAUAGCAGAACCUAGCAGCUUUGAAGAGGCUGAGGCAGAUGAAGGCUGGAAACUAGCUAUGAUCAAUGAAAUCAACAUGAUUGAAAAGAAUCAGACAUGGGAGCUUGUUGAUAAACCUGCUGAAAAGAAGACCAUUGGAGUAAAAUGGGUCUAUCGAGUAAAACAGAAUGCAGAUGACAGUCUGAACAAGCUAAAAGCCAGGCUUGUUGUCAAAGGAUUUAGCCAAAGGUAUGGUCUGGACUACCUGGAGACAUUUGCACCAGUAGCCAGGCUUGACACAGUUAGAAUGAUAGUUGCCUUGGCUGCUCAACAUCAGUGGACCAUUCAUCAGCUUGAUGUUAAGUCUGCAUUUCUCAAUGGCUUCCUGGAAGAAGAGAUCUACAUCGAGCAGCCUCAAGGAUUUGUGAUCACUGGCAAAGAACACUUAGUGUACAGACUGAAAAAGGCUUUAUAUGGCCUGAAACAAGCUCCUCGAGCCUGGUAUGCUCGAAUUGACUCUUACUUGCUCAGUUUGGAAUUUGAAAGAAGUCCCAGUGAACCAACACUGUAUGUGAAGAAGAACCAAGCUCAAACUCAGCUUAUUCUGUCACUCUAUGUUGAUGAUCUACUGAUAACUGGAGGAGAUGAAAGAAUGCUGGAAGAUUUUAAAAGAAAAAUGAUGGAAAUGUUUGAAAUGUCUGAUUUGGGCAGAAUGAACUACUUUCUUGGAAUGGAAGUGAACCAAACAGAAAAGGGAAUCUUUCUUUGUCAGAGUUCUUUUACUAUGAAGAUCCUGGACAAGUUCUCUAUGAAGAACUGCAAGCCAACAAGCACACCAAUGGCUGUUGGAGUGAAGCUUUCAAGGCAAGGUAGUGGUGAACCAAUUUGUGAGACCAUGUACAAGAGUCUCAUUGGCAGUCUGUUGUAUUUGACUGCCACAAGGCCCGAUAUCAUGUUUGCUGUUAGUAUGCUAUCAAGAUACAUGAAUUGCUGCAAUGAUCAGCACUUUCGAGCAGCUAAAAGAGUGCUGAGAUACAUCAAAGGCACCAUUGGUCAUGGUGUAUUGUUCAAAAGGGCCAAAAACAUGAAGUUAACAGGCUAUGUUGAUAGUGACUGGGCUGGAUCAAGUGAUGACAUGAGAAGCACAUCCGGAUAUGCAUUCAGUCUUGGCUCAGAUAUGUUUUGCUGGAGUUCUAAGAAACAAAGUCUGGUGGCACAGUCAACAGCAGAAGCUGAAUAUGUUGCUGCUGCAUCUGCUGUGAACCAAGCCAUAUGGCUUAGAAAAAUCUUGACUGAUUUAAACCAAAACCAAAAGGAGGCAACAGAGAUUUAUUGUGACAACAAAUCUGCUGUUGCAAUUGCAAAAAAUCCCAUUUUUCAUGGCAGAACCAAGCACUUUAAUAUUAAGUUGCAUGUUAUAAGGGAGAUGGAACAAGCUCAUGAAAUCGAGCUGAUUCAUUGCAAUUCAGAAGUGCAAAUUGCUGAUAUCUUCACAAAGGCACUCAAUGUGUCUAAAUUUGUUAAAUUCAAAAGGGAAUUAGGUGUUACUAGCAUGGAAACUAAGGAGGAGUGUUAAGUUUAGUUCCCAUGCAAAGGUGGCCAUGCACGACAUGCAAAGGUGGUCAUGCUUCUGGAAUCGCAGCAGGCAGUGGUGCCAUGGUGUGCAGCAAGCUGAAGCUAUCCAUUUAGUUUUCUUAAUUGAAUGUCUUGUAUUUAGUUAGGAUCAAACUUAGUUGGUAGCUGCAUUUUGAUGUAAUUAGGUGCUGAAUGACAAGUUUAGGUAGAAGCUUUUUGUUUUUCAAUCAAGUUUACCAAGUUACUAGGCAAUUUAGUGGUGUUAGGUAUGUUAUUAGGUGAUUAUUUGUUUGUUUUACUUGUUGACUGAUAUAUGUAAUGGCUUAAUGCCUUGUUGGUUUGCUUAAUGAAAGAUAUCAGCUCAUUUUCAUUCAAUCUUUUUCUCUCUUUUCUGUUUUCACUUGCUAGCUUCAUCUUUCUGUUUUCUGCUUCCGAGUUUGCUUCUUCACCAAGCCUCGAGGCUUACUACUCAAGCAAGACUAGAAACAGCUUGCUGCUGCCUCUUGCACCAACAAGGUGAAUCCCAAAAGAGGCGGGUUUAUAAUUCCAGUUUCAUUAUUAAAGAACCCUUUAUUUCAAGAACUGAUAAAUCAGGCUGAAGAGGAGUUUGGCUUUGAAUCAUCCAAGGGGUAGUCUCACAGUCCCAUGUGCAGAAGAAGCCUUCAUUGAACUUUCUUGUAGUUUGAAUAGCUUUCUGACUUUGACCUGACAUCUUAUCUCCCCAAUAUAAUAAUGAAUAGUAAAAAAUGUGCAGAGAACAGAACAAAAAUACCACUAGAAUGUGAACUAAAGCAGAUUUAUUUGUAAUGUUAUCCAUAUACAUAUAGCAGCACAUACCAGAAAUCUAGUGAGCUGUCAAGCUGAAUAUUGUCUUCACCCCUAUAGAACUAUAUGAUUGCAGCACGGAAUAGACAACUAACCUGGAUAAAAUGCAACAAGUUGGGUUCAGAUAAGGAGUUGUUGUAGUCUGUAGGACGCAUUUUAGGCGCUCUUCACAAGGGAUUGUCUUACAAGUUUUAUGUGAGGUCAAGGACACCCAUGUUACUUGUUCUCUAUCAUUGCAUGACAGAUUGUAUGUAUCUAAAUGUUGCUCUAAUGUCAAUGGUGAAGUAAUAAAAAUCUUCUACUAGGUAGAAGCUUUUACGGAUCCAAAUCUUCCAUAUCUGAGUAGGUCCUUAGUCGGUUCAUUUUGCCAGCAAGGUAGGAAAAGUAUUCUUUCAAGUCUUAGCCAUGGAAUUCUUGAUAAUGCUUUGGAAGACAACACCAUGUGAUUCCCCGUGAGCCCAUGUCUUUCUCUUUACGGAUCAGACCCCAGCAAUUUCACCUUCACCACUCAUUCCACAUCCCCCGCUUAAUAAUAGAUGAACAUGAUUUCCUCUCUGCCCUACACAUCUAUAUAUACAAGUAAGAGUAAGUUCAUUGGCAACACCUAGUUCAUUGGCAACACCUCCCUUCAACAUUCUCAAGCUUGCUUUCCAAGUUAUCUUAUAUCUUCCUUUUCUUCCCUUUGAAGCAUACAUUCAUCAAAAACAACAAUGGCUAUCUGCCUGCCUCGUAUUGUCAGCUCUAAGAAAGUUCCCGAAGGCUACUUUGCAGUUUAUUUUGGAGAAAACCAGAAGAGGUUCGUGAUACCAGUUUCAUUCUUGAACCAUCAUUCAUUUCAAUAUUUUCUAGGCAUGUCAUAAGAAGAGUUCAGAUAUAGUCAUCCUACCGGUGGUCUGACAAUUCCCUGCAACGAAGACACCUUUCUCGAAGUUACCUCUCGCAUGUAUUGAUUGUGAGAUGAUUAACACAAACUAGCCAAUACAAUUUUGUAAAGCAAAAAUCACUAAUACAUGAGAACAUUUUUUCCUCCAUCCUUUUUGCCUUGGGGAGCUGAUAUAGGUCUCCCCAAGAGGAAAAGUAAAGAUGGUGAUUACUGUAACACUACUAUCAAUUCAGUAAUGAUAGAUCCAAACACAUCAUUCAGUUGUCAUUUUAUUUCCAUUCUGAAAUUUUUACUUGUUUUACGUCAAUUCCAUCUCUACCUUAAUCUAAAAUUACUUCAUACUACAAUCUAAGUUAAAUGGAGAAGCAGUAGAGUACAACUGUUCUAAUUUGACAGUUCAAAACACAUCAUUCAAUUGAAAAUUUAGUUCUUUAGAUAAUUUCCUAUGGUACCCU
Molecule: long non-coding RNA, 7729 nt
Filed under: Gossypium barbadense (sea-island cotton)
Lineage: Eukaryota; Viridiplantae; Streptophyta; Magnoliopsida; Malvales; Malvaceae
Description: long non-coding RNA (GBAR_LNC002776)
Source: RNAcentral